RNAcentral lists this ribosomal RNA (468 nucleotides) under uncultured bacterium. RNAcentral's name for it is "partial 16S ribosomal RNA". It matches the Rfam family "Bacterial small subunit ribosomal RNA", at positions 28 to 507 of the family's 1533-position model. The record is from RNAcentral.
GACGAACGCUGGCGGCGUGCUUAACACAUGCAAGUCGAACGGAAAGGCCCUGCUUUUGUGGGGUGCUCGAGUGGCGAACGGGUGAGUAACACGUGAGUAACCUGCCCUUGACUUUGGGAUAACUUCAGGAAACUGGGGCUAAUACCGGUUAGGAGCUCCUGCUGCAUGGUGGGGGUUGGAAAGUUUCGGCGGCUGGGGAUGGACUCGCGGCUUAUCAGCUUGUUGGUGGGGUAGUGGCUUACCAAGGCUUUGACGGGUAGCCGGCCUGAGAGGGUGAUCGGCCGCAUUGGGACUGAGAUACGGCCCAGACUCCUACGGGAGGAAGCAGUGGGGAAUAUUACACAAUGGGCGGAAGCCAGAUGAAGCAGCGCCACGAGCGGGAUGACGGCCUUCGGGUUGUAAACCGCUUUCGCCUGUGACGAAGCGUGAGUGACGGGAAUGGGUAAAGAAGCACCGGCUAACUACGUG